GGGAAGGAUCAUUAUCGAAAUCGAAAGCCUAGGAGAAAGGGGGGGGGAUGCGGGGCUGUCGCUGGCCUCUUUGGCAUGUGCACGCGUUGGUCCCUCUCCCGCCUUCGAAGCUUUCAACUUCUCAACACCUGUGUGCACCCGCUGUAGGUCCUUCGGGACCUAUGUCUUCUCUUCCGAACUCGCAUGUCUACAGAAUGUGUAUGCGUCGCGUUGGCGACUGCGAAACCUUUGUACAACUUUCAGCAAUGGAUCUCUUGGCUCUCGCAUCGAUGAAGAACGCAGCGAAUCGCGAUAAGUAAUGUGAAUUGCAGAUUUUCCGUGAAUCAUCGAAUCUUUGAACGCACCUUGCGCUCCUUGGUAUUCCGAGGAGCAUGCCUGUUUGAGUGUCAUCGAAAUAUCGGACCGAAUGACUUCGAUGCUGUCGGAGCUCGGUUUCGGAUGUUGGGAGUGGUGCGGGCGGCAACGUCGGCUCUCCUCAAAAGCAUUAGCUGUGGGCGCGAGCCUCGCAUGGCACGGCCGCUUUGACGUCGUAAUGAUCGUCGUGGGCUUGGAAGUGCGUGGGUUGACGUGUCUCCACGCUUCGAAACCUUCUGCGAGUCCGUCCGUCGUCCGGACGGUCGCACGUAUCGAUGCUUGACCUCAAAUCAGGUAGGACUACCCGCUGAA
RNAcentral lists this ribosomal RNA (666 nucleotides) under uncultured fungus. RNAcentral describes it as "eukaryotic LSU rRNA". The stretch from base 235 to 389 matches the Rfam family "5.8S ribosomal RNA". The record is from RNAcentral. Lineage: Eukaryota; Fungi.